CAAGUCUCGGAAGCUGCCUUCUGUUCUCAAAUAUAUGGGAAUUCCUAUCAAGUAGAUAUGGUAGGCAAUGUAUGCGAACCUAAUACCCUGUGGGAUAGUAACUAGUCUUCUCUUGUUUCCCUUUAGAAAGGCAAGGAUAGCUUCAAUAAGGGUUGUCGACUGACUAAAGCUCAAGGUGAUCCCGGCAAGCCUCCACACCUAAGCCGCUCUCGGGCAGCAAAAUCAAACAUGCACCAUGGACUCCUCAUCCAGACAGCUAUUGAAGGCAAGAGGGAGCCUCAAUCCUCUUCUACACAACAUACCUCUGGUCGGAAGAUAACCCCAUGCCACCUUCCAUAGGAAGAGGACAACACAGAGGUGAAUGCGGAGCUUCCGGAUCCAGUCACUAUCAAUUAGCCGUGUGGGCUCAACUCUAUACAAGUCGCAUAGGUCAUUUGCUCUCACUUUCAAACUGCAUGUCGACCACCAAAUCUUUCUAUCUAAAACCCCA
This 490-nucleotide long non-coding RNA is filed under the name Phoenix dactylifera (date palm). RNAcentral describes it as "long non-coding RNA (PDAC_LNC016936)". The record is from RNAcentral. Lineage: Eukaryota; Viridiplantae; Streptophyta; Magnoliopsida; Arecales; Arecaceae.